RNAcentral lists this ribosomal RNA (1935 nucleotides) under Triticum aestivum (bread wheat). RNAcentral describes it as "partial small subunit ribosomal RNA". The record is from RNAcentral. Lineage: Eukaryota; Viridiplantae; Streptophyta; Magnoliopsida; Poales; Poaceae.
UUUGGUUGCCUGUGCUAUCCCAACCUCACUGCCACAACACCUCACAAGCUUGCUCCACGUUCCACUCCGUGCGUAUUCUUGGGCUACCCUGACGAGCACCGCGGAUAUCGCUGCCUGGAUCUAUCCUCUGGUCGGAUUAUCAUCUCCCGCCAUGUGACCUUCGACGAACAAUCUUUUCCCUUUGCCACAUUGCACGCCACCUCCACGCUUACGCAUCCCAACUCAUCCUCCCCUUCCUCACGGCCUCUGUUUGCCGUUACCGACAACCCAGCUCCCACGCAGGCCACAACUACGCAUGAACCUCCUACACCUCCGGCACCACCGUCCCCUCCACCCCCUCCCUAUACUGCCUCCACCACACCUCCCCAUACUCCACCUCUACCGGCCAAGGCAAUUCCGGUCCCUAUUCCCCAAAACCCACACAAGAUGACCACUCGAGCGAAACGGGGCUUUGGCAUCCCUGCUCGCCGUCUUAACCUGUUAGCCUCCACCUCUACCAUAUCCCCUGUUCCUAAAACAUACCGCUCUGCACUUCAUGAUCCCCAUUGGCUUGAGGCUAUGCGCUCUGAGUUUGAUGCUUUUAAGCAGAAUGACACUUGGGAGCUUGUUCCUCGUCCUCCCUCCUGCAACGUUGUCUCAGGCAAAUGGCUAUUCCGCCACAAAUUUCACGCUGAUGGCAGCUUGGCUCGCUAUAAAGCUCGUUGGGUAUGCCGCGGCUUCUCUCAACAACCGGGAAUCGAUUACGAUGAGACGUUCUCCCCCGUUGUCAAACCAAGCACGAUUCGUGCCGUCCUAUCCAUUGCGACCUCCUCUCACUGGCCUAUACACCAACUAGAUGUAAAAAAUGCCUUCCUUCAUGGCACCUUGACUGAAACUGUGUACUGUCAACAACCACAGGGCUUCGAAGAUCCAUCCUUUCCUGAUCACGUUUGCUUGCUUAAAAAGUCUCUUUACGGCCUUAAACAAGCACCCCGAGCUUGGUUUUCUCGCUUUGCCACAUACAUUCAGACCCUUGGCUUCCUCCCUUCAAAGUCUGAUUCUUCUCUGUUUACUUAUCACUCCGACAACGCCACCGCCUACCUCCUCUUAUAUGUUGAUGACAUCAUCCUAACCUGCUCCUCCACUACCUUCCUCAACUCUCUUAUAGCCUCUCUUCGGUCAGAAUUCUCCAUGACCGAUCUUGGAGCUCUCCAUCACUUCUUAGGCAUUACUGUCACGCGCUCCUCUGCUGGCUUGUUUCUCUCCCAACGUCAGUACCUCUCUGACCUCAUUGACCGCGCUGGCAUGACUGACUGUCACAUUGCUCGCACCCCCGUUGACACUGGCAACAAGCUUGACUCCUCCGGCAACCCUGUUUCUGACCCGACAUUCUACCGCAGCCUUGCAGGUGCUCUGCAAUAUGCCACCCUAACCCGCCCGGACAUUGCUUAUGCUGUCCAACAGGCCUGCCUAUUCAUGCAUGAUCCUCGUGAUCCUCACCUCGCUCUUGUCAAGCGUAUCAUUCGCUACCUCAAGGGCACUCUUCAUCUUGGCUUACACAUAAACACCUCCUCCCCAACUUCCCUGACAGCAUACUCAGAUGCCGAUUGGGCCGGCUGCCCCGAGACCCGUCGCUCUACUUCUGGAUUUUGUGUGUAUUUAGGUGAUAAUCUAAUCUCUUGGUCUUCCAAAAGGCAACACACUGUUUCCAGGUCGUCAGCAGAAGCGGAGUAUAGAGCUGUGGCACACGCUGUUGCUGAGUCUGUGUGGCUCCGCCAAUUAUUGUUGGAACUCCAACGUCCAAUAUCGAAGGCCACCAUUGUUUUCUGCGACAAUAUCUCUGCAGUGUACAUGUCAGCGAAUCCAGUUCAGCAUCGCCGCACCAAGCACAUUGAGAUCGAUCUCCACUUUGUCCGUGAGAAGGUGCAGCUGGGCGAAGUCAAAGUACUGCAUGUU